This 377-nucleotide unclassified non-coding RNA is filed under the name uncultured Actinomycetes bacterium. RNAcentral's name for it is "uncultured actinobacterium contains 16S-23S intergenic spacer region". Lineage: Bacteria; Bacillati; Actinomycetota; Actinomycetes. The record is from RNAcentral.
UCCGAGUUGACCCCGGCAGUCUCCCAUGAGUCCCCGGCAUAACCCGCUGGCAACAUGGGACAAGGGUUGCGCUCGUUGCGGGACUUAACCCAACAUCUCACGACACGAGCUGACGACAGCCAUGCACCACCUGUCACCCGCCCCGAAGGACACGGGCUUUCACCCGCUUUAACCAGCAUGUCAAGCCCAGGUAAGGUUCUUCGCGUUGCAUCGAAUUAAAGAACAUGCUCCGCUGCUUGUGCGGGCCCCCGUCAAUUCUUUUGAGUUUUAGCCUUGCGGCCGUACUCCCCAGGCGGGGUACUUAAUGCGUUAGCUGCGGCACGGAACCCGUUGAUAAGGCCCCACACCUAGUACCCACCGUUUACGGCAUGGACUAC